This is a non-coding RNA of Rhinichthys klamathensis goyatoka, 499 nucleotides long. Lineage: Eukaryota; Metazoa; Chordata; Actinopteri; Cypriniformes; Leuciscidae. The record is from the annotation of a RefSeq genome assembly.
GGGAGGAGUUUAACAUCUCAGAUGAUCUUGUUACAUUUGCUAGACUGUCACAAAGCUCAGUCCUGCUGCAGUGAACACACACACAUGUACAAUGAUACUUCAUUCAGUCAUUUUGCUCUCUGCCUUGGCAUGUGUGAGUUUUGGAGAUGAAAUCACACCAGACCGCAGUGAAGAGUUUGCUGCAGUGUCUUCAACGGUUACAUUAUCCUGCAGUUAUUCCUCUGCAAAUUCACUUCUAUGGUACCGUCAGAAUCCUGGAUCAGCUCCUCAAUUUCUUGUGCUCAUAAUAGAGGGUGUGAAAGAGACUAAGACAUCUGAGGUAGAUCCCAGGUUCUCUACUAAGACUAGAAAAGAAAAAGAGAUCAAACGUGUGGAUCUGGAGUUCUCCUCUGCUGAAGUGUCAGACUCUGCUGUGUAUUACUGUGCUCUGAGGCCCACAGUGACAGGAAACACUAGAACACUGUACAAAAACCUGACACAACUAAAGGUGCACAACUAA